UACGAAGGGGGCUAGCGUUGCUCGGAAUCACUGGGCGUAAAGGGUGCGUAGGCGGGUCUUUAAGUCAGGGGUGAAAUCCUGGAGCUCAACUCCAGAACUGCCUUUGAUACUGAAGAUCUUGAGUUCGGGAGAGGUGAGUGGAACUGCGAGUGUAGAGGUGAAAUUCGUAGAUAUUCGGAAGAACACCAGUGGCGAAGGCGGCUCACUGGUCCGGUACUGACGCUCAGGCACGAAAGCGUGGGGAGCAAACAGG
RNAcentral lists this ribosomal RNA (253 nucleotides) under uncultured bacterium. Its description in RNAcentral is "partial 16S ribosomal RNA". It matches the Rfam family "Bacterial small subunit ribosomal RNA", at positions 524 to 776 of the family's 1533-position model. The record is from RNAcentral.